UGUAACUUCAUGGAGACACGCGUCUGC
RNAcentral lists this non-coding RNA (27 nucleotides) under Homo sapiens (human). Lineage: Eukaryota; Metazoa; Chordata; Mammalia; Primates; Hominidae. The record is from RNAcentral.